RNAcentral lists this ribosomal RNA (497 nucleotides) under uncultured bacterium. RNAcentral describes it as "partial 16S ribosomal RNA". It matches the Rfam family "Bacterial small subunit ribosomal RNA", at positions 28 to 507 of the family's 1533-position model. The record is from RNAcentral.
GACGAACGCUGGCGGCGUGCCUAAUACAUGCAAGUUGAGCGCUGAAGGUUGGUACUUGUACCAACUGGAUGAGCAGCGAACGGGUGAGUAACGCGUGGGGAAUCUGCCUUUGAGCGGGGGACAACAUUUGGAAACGAAUGCUAAUACCGCAUAAAAACUUUAAACACAAGUUUUAAGUUUGAAAGAUGCAAUUGCAUCACUCAAAGAUGAUCCCGCGCUGUAUUAGCUAGUUGGUGAGGUAAAGGCUCACCAAGGCGAUGAUACAUAGCCGACCUGAGAGGGUGAUCGGCCACAUUGGGACUGAGACACGGCCCAAACUCCUACGGGAGGCAGCAGUAGGGAAUCUUCGGCAAUAGACGAAAGUCUGACCGAGCAACGCCGCGUGAGUGAAGAAGGUUUUCGGAUCGUAAAACUCUGUUGGUAGAGAAGAACGUUGGUGAGAGUGGAAAGCUCAUCAAGUGACGGUAACUACCCAGAAAGGGACGGCUAACUACGUG